AGACCCGAAACCCGGUGAUCUAGCCAUGGGCAGGUUGAAGGUUGGGUAACACUAACUGGAGGACCGAACCGACUAAUGUUGAAAAAUUAGCGGAUGACCUGUGGCUGGGGGUGAAAGGCCAAUCAAACCGGGAGAUAGCUGGUUCUCCCCGAAAGCUAUUUAGGUAGCGCCUCGUGAAUUCAUCUCCGGGGGUAGAGCACUGUUUCGGCUAGGGGGCCAUCCCGGCUUACCAACCCGAUGCAAACUGCGAAUACCGGAGAAUGUUAUCACGGGAGACACACGGCGGGUGCUAACGUCCGUCGUGAAGAGGGAAACAACCCAGACCGCCAGCUAAGGUCCCAAAGUCAUGGUUAAGUGGGAAACGAUGUGGGAAGGCCCAGACAGCCAGGAUGUUGGCUUAGAAGCAGCCAUCAUUUAAAGAAAGCGUAAUAGCUCACUGGUCGAGUCGGCCUGCGCGGAAGAUGUAACGGGGCUAAACCAUGCACCGAAGCUGCGGCAGCGAACGUAUCACUUAAAGCGAUUCAGCGGGUUACGAUUGACGGAGCGAAGCGACGUCAAAGCGUAUACAAAGUCGAGU
Molecule: ribosomal RNA, 577 nt
Filed under: Salmonella enterica subsp. enterica serovar Infantis
Lineage: Bacteria; Pseudomonadati; Pseudomonadota; Gammaproteobacteria; Enterobacterales; Enterobacteriaceae
Also listed under: 2 other names
Description: partial 23S ribosomal RNA
Rfam family: Bacterial large subunit ribosomal RNA
Source: RNAcentral